UUGCUUGUUUGUAUGAUUGAUUCAGCCAUGCAUGUCUACGGGCUGUCUUUGGUACAGCGCAACCAUGAAUCGCUCAAUCAAUCAGAUAUAAUUUGUUUGAUUUUAAACUGGACUUGGAUAGGAGUGGGAAAUCUAGAGCUUACACAUGCGCUCAAGCUUUGGCUUUGGGGAACGGGUGCAGUUCUUAGACCAUACCCAUUCGUGCUCUCGGGCUCGAGCAACUGUUUGGUGACUCUGGAUAACUAUAAGCGGAUCGCAUGGCUUUGUGCCAGCGACAUAUCUUUCAAGUGUCUGACCUAUCAACUGACGAUGGUACGUGAUAUGCCUACCAUGGUGAUAACGGGUAACGGAGAAUAAGGGUUCGACUCCGGAGAGGGAGCCUGAGAAAUGGCUACCACAUCCAAGGAUGGCAGCAGGCGCGCAAAUUACCCACUCUCAGUACGAGGAGGUAGUGACGAAAAAUAACAAUGCGGGACUCUUUAUGAGGCCUCGCAAUUGGAAUGAGCGCACUUUAAAACGUUCGACGAGGAUCUAUUGGAGGGCAAGUCUGGUGCCAGCAGCCGCGGUAAUUCCAGCUCCAAUAGCGUAUAUUAAAGUUGUUGCAGUUAAAAAGCUCGUAGUUGGAUCUGGGGCUCGGGUCAACGGUUUGCUGCCAUGCAGCUACUGCUGUACUCUCGACCCUUACUAGCCGGUGCGUUUGCUGUUUGUGCUCUUCACUGAGUGCCUGCAAAGCCUGGCAUGUUUACUUUGAAAAAAUUAGAGUGCUCAAAGCAGGCGCUAGCGCCUGAAUAGUGUUGCAUGGAAUAAUGGAAUAAGACCUCGGUUCUAUUUUGUUGGUUUUCGGAAUUAGAGGUAAUGAUUAAGAGGGACGGUCGGGGGCACUCGUAUUUCGGUGUUAGAGGUGAAAUUCUUGGAUCGCUGAAAGACGGACAAACGCGAAAGCAUUUGCCAAGAAACCAUUCUAAUCGUCUAUGGUUUGAUUCGCGUUUCAGAGACGCGACUGUGACGACCACCGACUGAGAGGUCAGCACCAAUCCCCCCGCUGGCGGUCAGUUACCUCCAUUGUUUCUUCUGGCGACCCUUAGCGGCACAUGAUAAAGCUUAGGCGAGAGAGUUCAAUCGUGUUCUGCCCGGGGUCCGGUACUGCGGAGGGAGUAGCGGAGUUCGCGUAUCCUGCGUAUAUGCACGGCCCGGACGCCAUACCAAAAAAAAAUAAAGACUGGCCUCCGUUCGGUUUGUCGUUACGCAAUCUUCGCCU
This 1258-nucleotide ribosomal RNA is filed under the name Stenostomum sphagnetorum. RNAcentral's name for it is "SSU rRNA". The stretch from base 1 to 992 matches the Rfam family "Eukaryotic small subunit ribosomal RNA", at positions 24 to 1116 of the family's 1831-position model. The record is from RNAcentral. Lineage: Eukaryota; Metazoa; Platyhelminthes; Stenostomidae.